This is a non-coding RNA of Pelobates cultripes (western spadefoot toad), 279 nucleotides long. The record is from the annotation of a GenBank genome assembly. NCBI's taxonomy places the organism in Eukaryota, Metazoa, Chordata, Amphibia, Anura, Pelobatidae.
CAAAAACGUAUGUAAGGAGCUUCGAGUUAGCUUCACUGAGCUAGACCAUGCCAUAUUGGGCUGGGCUUAUUUGCAGAUUUAUGCAGAGUGCCAGGGCACUCCUGGCACCAUAACAACUACAGUGGGCUAUGGUAUUUGGAGAGUUCCUUUGAGUGUAGUCUACACACACACACACACAUUACCUUCGAGAAGAGCAUGCAUCCGCAACAAUGUGGACAUCAAAACCCUUAUCCAAAAGGUCCAGUGUGGUACUCUGAAAAGAGAGACAAGUUCUAUGAC